Non-coding RNA from Marchantia polymorpha subsp. ruderalis, 118 nucleotides. The record is from the annotation of a GenBank genome assembly. Lineage: Eukaryota; Viridiplantae; Streptophyta; Marchantiopsida; Marchantiales; Marchantiaceae.
AGGACUAUUAAACUAAGGUUGUCAGUGACCUUGUUCUUCCUGUCGUGCCUAUGAACUUUCCUGUCCAUAGGCACGACAGGAAGGACAAGGCCACUGACAAGCAUAGUGUAAUAGUCCU